Molecule: ribosomal RNA, 489 nt
Filed under: uncultured bacterium
Lineage: Bacteria
Description: partial 16S ribosomal RNA
Rfam family: Bacterial small subunit ribosomal RNA
Source: RNAcentral
AUUGAACGCUGGCGGCAGGCCUAACACAUGCAAGUCGAACGGUAACAGGAAGAAGCUUGCUUCUUUGCUGUCGAGUGGCGGACGGGUGAGUAAUGUCUGGGAAACUGCCUGAUGGAGGGGGAUAACUACUGGAAACGGUAGCUAAUACCGCAUAACGUCGCAAGACCAAAGAGGGGGACCUUCGGCCUUUUUUCCUUUGACUUGGCCAGGUGGGAUUAGCUAGUUGGUUGGGUAACGGCUCACCUAGGCCACGAUUCCUAGCUGGUCUGAGAGGAUGACCAGCCACACUGGAACUGAGACACGGUCCAGACUCCUACGGGAGGCAGCAGUGGGGAAUAUUGCACAAUGGGCGCAAGCCUGAUGCAGCCAUGCCGCGUGAAUGAAGAAGGCCUUCGGGUUGUAAAGUACUUUCAGCAGGGAGGAAGGGAGUAAAGUUAAAACCUUUACUCAUUGACGUUACCCGCAGAAGAAGCAACGGCUAACUCCGUG